UACAGAGGCCUCGAGCGUUAGGCGGAAUCACUGGGCUUAAAGCGUGUGUAGGCGGACUUCUAAGUACCUUGUGAAAUCCCACGGCUCACCCGUGGAACUGCUCGGUAUACUGGUCGUCUUGAGCCUUCUAGGGGCUACCGGAACAAAUGGUGGAGCGGUGAAAUGCGUAGAUAUCAUUUGGAACGCCAAUGGUGAAAACAGGUAGCUGGGGAAGUGCUGACGCUGAGACACGAAAGCCAGGGGAGCGAACGGG
This 253-nucleotide ribosomal RNA is filed under the name uncultured bacterium. RNAcentral's name for it is "partial 16S ribosomal RNA". It matches the Rfam family "Bacterial small subunit ribosomal RNA", at positions 524 to 776 of the family's 1533-position model. The record is from RNAcentral.